Bos taurus (domestic cattle) is the source of this 1837-nucleotide long non-coding RNA. The record is from Ensembl. NCBI's taxonomy places the organism in Eukaryota, Metazoa, Chordata, Mammalia, Artiodactyla, Bovidae.
GCUUCUCAGCCUCAGAUUAGACAGUGACUUUGAAACGAAGUUGACGCACCUUAAGCCCCAUGUCGCCUUUAUAUGGAAACAUUAAGCUGCUCUCCCAGGUCAGGAAGAGGCGGGGGGAGGGCUUGAGGCUCUGGAUCCGCUUCCCUCGGAUCCUGCUGUCGGUGAUGGGAGGUGCGUGGGCCCCGAGGCAGAACCCCAUCCCAGCUCUCAGGGCCAUGCUGGAUGCUGACGGGACCCCGCAGAGGUGAAAGGCGUCCCCACCCCCACCCCCAGCCUGCCUCUUGAAAUGGACAAGAUCACGUCUGUCUCUCAGGGCUGAGGGUAACAACGGGAGGAUUUAGGAAAACGAGAUCCUGGGUUGGAAAGGCUCAGGACUCAAACCGGCAGCCCACCCCCAGCACUUCAUGACUCUGGCCGGAUCUCUGAGUCCGCUCCCCAACCUGUGAAGCGGGGUGAUGAUCUUGACUUCCCAGCAUCCUGAGCAGCCAAGGUGAGCCCAGAGGGUGGGCUGCAGAAUUCUGGGAGCUUGGCAAGGCUGGGGACCAAGGUGCUCAGGAAACAAGGGCGAGUGAUGAGGUGGUCUGUGGUCCAGUCUGGCGCUCAGGCUUGGGCACCAGGAAGGCUGGAUGGGAGUCCAGGGUCUGCCGUUUCUUGACUGAGAGCUGGGACAGGAGACGAACCUCAGUGCCUCCGUUUGCUUUCCCAUCAGAAGCAGAAUCCCAACACCCAUCGGUGUGGGUGUGAGGAGGCCCCCACCCAUCACCCCCCUCCUGCAUCAUGUCAUCAGGUGGCCUCUGAAAGGGGACUAGUGGGUAGUGAGGACUCUGAGCAAGAGGGGGCUGCAAAUGGUAACAUUUGCCUGUAUUCUAACCUCAGACCUGCCCCCUUCGACAGACUCAGUUGCCGCUGCUUGGAAGAACAGUCUCUAAUGCCCAGAAAGUUGAGGGUGUGAAAAGAGUUGGGGCACAUCGUGGGCUGUGCACACAACCAGGUCUGCUGACUGGAGCCUCAGCUUUGCCUGUGUAGAGUGGGCCUAAGAAAUGCCCAUGUUGGGGGUGGAGACUGGGUGGUCACAGACAGCAGUGCAGAGCAGCGGGGCAGGGGAGUAGGUACAUGUCAGUGUUGAACUUGACAGCAACUAACAACUCAUUCUUCAUGGAGAAAGUGCCCCCAGCAACCAGGCAAAGACAAGUAGAGAUCCUUGUCGGGAGGCCCAUAAGCACCCUAGAGCCUGGCACAGGGAGUUCAUUGUACCUAGGUGCUUGGUAGGUGUUGAUGGAACUGGGAUGCAAAACGUUUAACCCCUAGCCCAGACAGGUCCCUGAAGUCCCAACACCACAGGGCCAAAUGUGCAGCUGCUGGAGGGCAAUGCGGUCUACAGUUGUGGUGCUUAUGCUUGUUGCUCUGCAUCAUGGGAGAUCUUAGUUCCCUGACCAGGGAUGGAAGCGGGUCACCUGCACUGCAAUGCAGAUUUUCAACUGGACCACCAGGAAAAUCCCUGAGUAUAAACUAGAGUUGAUCCUCUAUAUCCAUGGUUCUGAAUCCAAGGAUUCAACCGACCACGGAACAUGUAGUACGACUCUAUGAUUUAUUUUUAAAAAUCUGCGUAUAAGUGGAACCAUGCAGUUCAAACCCAUAUUGUUCAAGGGUCAACUAUAUCUUUUUGGAGAAAUGUCUACUCAGAUCCUUUGCCCAUUUUAAAAUUGGGUUGUCUGUUUCUUAUUGAGUUAUAAGGCCUCUUUAUAUGUUGUGGAUACAAAUUUUUUAGAUAUGAUUUGCAAAUUUUUUUUCCCAUUAGCAGACGGUCUUUUCACUUUCAUCUUAGGGUCCUUGGAAG